GACGAACGCUGGCGGCGUGCUUAACACAUGCAAGUCGAACGGUAAGGCCCUUCGGGGUACACGAGUGGCGAACGGGUGAGCAACACGUGGGUGAUCUGCCCUGCACUUCGGGAUAAGCCUGGGAAACUGGGUCUAAUACCGGAUAGGACCACUGCCUGCAUGGGUGGUGGGGGAAAGCUUUUGCGGUGUGUGAUGGGCCCGCGGCCUAUCAGCUUGUUGGUGGGGUGAUGGCCUACCAAGGCGACGACGGGUAGCCGGCCUGAGAGGGUGACCGGCCACACUGGGACUGAGAUACGGCCCAGACUCCUACGGGAGGCAGCAGUGGGGAAUAUCGCACAAUGGGCGCAGGCCUGAUGCAGCAACGCCGCGUGAGGGAUGACGGCCUUCGGGUUGUAAACCUCUUUCAGCACCGACGAAGCGCAAGUGACGGUAGGUGCAGAAGAAGGACCGGCCAGCUACGUGCCAGCAGCCGCCGUAA
Molecule: ribosomal RNA, 478 nt
Filed under: uncultured bacterium
Lineage: Bacteria
Description: partial 16S ribosomal RNA
Rfam family: Bacterial small subunit ribosomal RNA
Source: RNAcentral